RNAcentral lists this long non-coding RNA (1629 nucleotides) under Homo sapiens (human). RNAcentral's name for it is "HSALNT0075998". The record is from RNAcentral. Lineage: Eukaryota; Metazoa; Chordata; Mammalia; Primates; Hominidae.
CCUACAGUGAUUAUCAUGUCUUUGGAAGUGAGGUUUCUGUGGUACAGGUAAAAACCUCAGGAUUUUCGUGGUUAGAAGAUAUUAAGUGACAAAGGAAGGUAUUACUUUAAGUCAUCUCUAAUUAGGUGCUUUGGUUUAACACACCCAGUCAAGGAUAUUUUGAGCUGAAGCUUAAAAAAACCCAAGCUGCCUCUUUAUAAGUCACCAUUAAUGCGUAGAUGAAAGGUAUUUUGAACUUGGGGAACUAUUGUCCAUCAGCUCAACUAUGUAGCUCAUAAUAUGACAUACAAUUAGUGAUUUUAUUUACAUUUCUAUUAAGAGUGUUUUUUAGAGGAGGGGCAGUUUGGGUGUUACAAAGAGAGAAACAGGAAAAAUUUAUAUGAAAGGUGAAUAUUAACUGUAUCUAAAUAAAUGCUAUUAAUUAAUUUUUAGCUCCAAAAAUGAAUGCUAAUUUGUGUAACUCAAUAGACGUGUAACCAAAACAAAUAAUUACCCUCCUUAAUUUGAGCAAGGGCUGCUCUUCCUUAAAUACCAGUGAUCUGAAAUCUGAUUUUUCUCAGUGUGAACACUUGGGCAAGUUACUUAAUCCCUUUAACCUCCUUCACCUUUCUGCGACUUCUUUGCUCUUUCUCCAUUCUUCUAUCCUUCUACUUAGCACCUUGUGUCACAGGUAUUUGUUUGCCUGUUUAGACUCUGCAAACUUCCCUGGUGACCAAGUGACAUGUGGAACCCUCCAAGACAGGGACCAUAUUUCCUGUCUCCCUGCACAGUGCCUGGCAUAAAGCAGGGUCUCCAUAAAUGUUUCUUUAACGAGUGCCUAAAUGGCCUGGUGGAGGUUGCUGGCACACUGGAAGAGGAGCCUGGAAGUAUGAUGUUAUAUUUUUCUAGUCUGCUAAUAAUCAAACCUUUUCACACUCAGUUUCUUCAUCUGAGAAAUAUUCCAUCCAGUGUGCUUCCCUUGCAGAGAUGCUGUGAUAAUUAAUGAACUCAUUGGAAAGGAACGAUAUUCUCUAUCCCUUUGAAGUUUGGUUUUACAAGAAGAUCUUUAUAUACAAGGCUGUAAAAAUUCUGUUCUCCUUCCUGCCCUUUUUUUCCUCAAGCCCAAAGGUCCAGGAGAGAUUAUCUGCCUGUGAAACUUCCAUUUCAUAAAUGCCAGUCUCCCCUGUAGUAUAACCUGCAGUGUACUCAGCUGGUCAAUCCAAGCCCUGAGGCCUUCUCUUUUCACAAAUCAAUCUGUAAGCCUGCAGACUGGAAGCCCCUGAUAGCUUGAGAGCUGCCAACAAAUGGGCUAGGGAAAGCCGUGGUUUAUUCACAGAUGCUCUUGACCUUCUGUGUUCUUUUCGAGGUUGCCCACAUCUUCACUGAAGAAACCACUCGAGAUGGCUUGGCAGGAGCCACGCUCUGUGCCAGGUGUUGGGCCUGGGUAGUGCACAGACAGGUGAGUUGUUACAUUAGAGAGCCAUAAGUCCAACGCAAAGAGGUGUGUGGGGGGUAGGUACAGAUCAGGAGGUAGCUCAGGCAAGAUGAACCUGGGGUACAGUUAAGAGGAUUGGAAGCCAUGUCAGGCAAGGAGAUGGUACCUGGGCCAGGUGUGAGGGAUGAAAAGGAUAGAUUAGCUUUGUGAACUUG